Molecule: ribosomal RNA, 917 nt
Filed under: uncultured bacterium
Lineage: Bacteria
Description: bacterial SSU rRNA
Rfam family: Bacterial small subunit ribosomal RNA
Source: RNAcentral
GCAGCACGGGGGCNNCCCUGGUGGCGAGUGGCGAACGGGUGAGUAACAUAUCGGAACGUGCCCUGGAGUGGGGGAUAACUAGUCGAAAGAUUAGCUAAUACCGCAUACGAUCUACGGAUGAAAGUGGGGGAUCGCAAGACCUCAUGCUCGUGGAGCGGCCGAUAUCUGAUUAGCUAGUUGGUGGGGUAAAGGCCUACCAAGGCAUCGAUCAGUAGCUGGUCUGAGAGGACGACCAGCCACACUGGGACUGAGACACGGCCCAGACUCCUACGGGAGGCAGCAGUGGGGAAUUUUGGACAAUGGGCGCAAGCCUGAUCCAGCAAUGCCGCGUGAGUGAAGAAGGCCUUCGGGUUGUAAAGCUCUUUUGUCAGGGAAGAAACGGUUCGGGUUAAUACCUUGGGCUAAUGACGGUACCCGAAGAAUAAGCACCGGCUAACUACGUGCCAGCAGCCGCGGUAAUACGUAGGGUGCAAGCGUUAAUCGGAAUUACUGGGCGUAAAGCGUGCGCAGGCGGUUGUGCAAGACAGAUGUGAAAUCCCCGGGCUCAACCUGGGAAUUGCAUUUGUGACUGUACGGCUAGAGUGUGUCAGAGGGGGGUAGAAUUCCACGUGUAGCAGUGAAAUGCGUAGAGAUGUGGAGGAAUACCGAUGGCGAAGGCAGCCCCCUGGGAUAACACUGACGCUCAUGCACGAAAGCGUGGGGAGCAAACNNGAUUAGAUACCCUGGUAGUCCACGCCCUAAACGAUGUCUACUAGUUGUCGGGUCUUUAUUGACUUGGUAACGCAGCUAACGCGUGAAGUAGACCGCCUGGGGAGUACGGUCGCAAGAUUAAAACUCAAAGGAAUUGACGGGGNNCCGCACAAGCGGUGGAUGAUGUGGAUUAAUUCGAUGCAACGCGAAAAACNUUACCUACCCUU